CGGACGUAUUAUAAGAAGCGUAAGGUGGCAACAGAGCAGGGCGCCGUGCCGCCGGAGGACGU
This 62-nucleotide non-coding RNA is filed under the name Karenia brevis. Lineage: Eukaryota; Dinophyceae; Gymnodiniales; Kareniaceae. The record is from RNAcentral.